RNAcentral lists this unclassified non-coding RNA (227 nucleotides) under Hevea brasiliensis (rubber tree). The record is from RNAcentral. Lineage: Eukaryota; Viridiplantae; Streptophyta; Magnoliopsida; Malpighiales; Euphorbiaceae.
AUAAUUGGGUAAUUAUUAUGCUGGUUUGUGGCUUAUUUGUUUUAUGUCUAUAGCAAUUGUGGGAAAUUAUAAGAGAAUAGAAAUCCUGAAAACAUUAGAAAUGGUAUCAAAAAAUCAUGGAAAUACUCUUUUUCAGAGUUCUGCAGGUAUAGUUCUUUGAAAAAUUGCAGAGUUUCUUAGGAUAUAUGAAAGCCCCCUAGGCAUAUAUGUAGCACUUCCAAUGGAGG